Molecule: long non-coding RNA, 788 nt
Organism: Neodiprion virginianus
Lineage: Eukaryota; Metazoa; Arthropoda; Insecta; Hymenoptera; Diprionidae
Exons: 4
Source: RefSeq, a predicted model, not a curated record
GCGAGAUCGGCGGAACGAAUUUCGGCCCUCCUCUUGUUUCGUAUUCUUCUUAAUCUUCGUUCGACAAGCCCGGUGUCAACACGUUGCGUUAAUUCCGUGCAACUCGUUGAUCUAGAAAAUUCCCUCCUGCUUAAUUCUUCCUACCUUUUCCUUUUGUUACCUUCUUCACUAUCGAUUUUACCGUAACUUUUACCUUUUUCUCUAUCGUUUUACCUUCGUUUCCUUUUCGUCCUCUUACCUUUUCUACCGUUUUCUUUUGCUACUGACAAGUUUAUUUCAAAUUCGAAUCAGUGAGUGCUCGAAUCAUCGGCUAAGCAUUAAACUGCAGGUCGAUCGUUCGGGGCUGGUGAAUAUCUCAGUUGGGUGAACCUAGCAAAAAAUCUUGGAAAACAAAGUACAGAAGCUGCAUAGGUCACAACGUUAUUGCAAGAACAAAAAAAAAACAGUGUCGAAAGUACGUCGCUUCAUCGUUCAACAGCAAAUGCUACGAGAACUUUUUCAUCUAAAGUGUGGAGCUUCAUCGUUGAACCGUAAAUGCCACCAGGAUUAUAUCGUAUCUGAAGUGCGGACCAACUCAGAAAAGAGUUAAGCGAAGACAUCCGAAUGACUACUCCAUUACUUGGCAGCAUUGGUGAGUUUGCAUGUAUUUGGGUUACAGGUACUUCUCCGGGUCGCUUUUAUUACGUGCCGAUAAUUACUUUUGUUUCUGAUUCUGCAAGUUAAUUUUUUUUUAUAGCUGUUUAAGAUCUAAAUAACAGUAAAACGGUAAUUCCAAGUUAAAUAAUUGA